GUUCUUUCAAAGGUCUCUCUCUCUGCUGUUCCCUCCGCUUCCCACUCCUCUCCGCUCACCCUCUCCUGCAAACUCAGUGGAUUCUACCCUGACAACGUGUCUAUUCUCUGGAUCCAGAAUGGAAAGGUUCUUCCUAACUGUACUUUGUCCGUCCAGAAUGAGGAAGGAAUGUACGGGAGACAUCAGUAUCUCACCCUGAGUGCGGAGGAGAGGAGCAGAGGAGGAGAGGUGCAGUGUGUGGCCAGCCACCUGAUGUGAAAGAACCUGCCUUUGGAACUAUUGACCUCUCCGCCGUUGACCCACAAGAGAAGCUGAAGUCUCUGAACAUCUCAGCGAUUGUUCUGCCCCCCAGGGUGGUUGUGAGUAAGAAAGGCAGAGUCACCAUCAGUGUGGAAGGCAGGUUGGCAGAGAGAGUACAGACCACAUGGUUUCUCAAUGAUGUCCCCAUUACAGACACUGCAUACAGAGAGAAAAAAUAUGGUCCUUUUUGCUUGGCAGCCUAUACUCCUCACAGCUCUCAUGUGUCUUUGGUGUCGGAGAAAAGCUCUCUGCUGCCCUCUGCUGCUGCCUCAGGAUAUUACAAGCUGCACACUCAGAUGUUGCCAUGCUUGUUCUCCUGCUCCAUGAAGCAGCUGUUCUCCUCCGUCACAUUUAUAACAAACCUGUCCAUUCACAAGGGUGCAGUUUUCAAAUGCCACAUCUCGUAUAAGGGCAAAGACAAGCUUGUGGCCAAGAGAGUUUCCGACAAGUUUACUAUUCAAGCACCACCUGAAGUUUCAUUGAUCCAGUUCUCAGAGUCAAAUGAGGAAGGAGGCGUUGUGACCAUGAUGGCCCAGGCCUCUGGCUUUCAUCCGGACAUCACCACCUUCCGCUGGUUCUGUGAGGGCAGCGAGCUGAGCCCCGUGUCUGUCCCGCAGGUGCUGGCGGCCCCUCGGCCAGAUGCUGCAGGCUUCUUCUCUUCUUCUGCAGGCCCCCGCCGCAGAGCUGGAGCGAGGGGAGACCCAGUAAUUGGCGUGGGGAGACGGUAUAUAAGACAGUCGGAAACCGGCGAGGAGGAGAGAGAGCUGAGGACUCGUGGGGACCAGGAAGCCGGAAGCCAGAGAUAUUCCGAUGAGUAUUGGAAAUACUACACUGGUGCCGAAACCCGGGAGGAAGGAGGGACGCACUGCCGAAGAUCCCUCAUCGCUGGGGUGAAUCUGCGGUGCCAUCGAGCAUGGUGGAGCAGUCUGCCGCCGUGGACGCUCGAGGCGGUGGGCUGGAGUGAGUUGCCGGGGGGACGGACGAGCUUGCUGCCGGAUGCCUGAGAUGUGGAGGGACGGCUGCCUUCCGGAAGGGAGCAGAGGAGUCGCCGCCGUUCGCCUGGGGCCACCACCAAAUCAUCGGCAUAUUUAAUAAUGUGCCUGCCUGGAUAUUGACUUCUGCACCUUUCAGAGUAUAGAAUAAAUAACAGAGGUGAAAGAAUACAGCCCACUGAGGGGUAAAGCUCCCGGGAAUGUCCUCCAUUUACUCAUACUCUUUGAGAUCUUCUGGUCAGAAAAUCCAAAAUCCAGGUUAAAUAGUAUUAAAUGCUGUCUAUAAAUUAAAGUAUUAAAUGAAAAUCUAUAAAUAACCCAAUGAGCAAUGAGUCUUACUCAUGCAUGACUCAUUGUCAAAUGAUUUGGUUCCAUAAAGCUAAUUUUUUAACAUAGCUCAAGCUCAAUCACUUUGAAAAUGCUGGGAAACUAACCGGGUCAGGAGUAGGCUAAACUGAUCCUCUAACACUGACCAAUACAAUCUAAAAUUGCCCUUUAAAGCAUUAAAAUCACAAAAUUAAAAGUUAAAAUGAAUAAUAAAAAACAGACUACAUUUGAACUGGUAACAGGAACACGUGAACUCAUUUGAGCUUAAUAAUUGGGACUGUAUUAGCUUACAUUUGAUUUUCCCAUUAUAGUCCCUUUGCGGUUACUGUUUUGCAUUGUAUGUCGGUUUAAAAUUUUCCAUCACAUUAAAUGUCCCACAACAAAUAUUUAAAAAAAAAAUUAUAUUUUACUCUAUUGCGCUCCGCCUGAUUAACACGCAUCGCCAGCAAAAUGCAAAAUGGAUAUGUUUGCAUGACUUUCAAACAUUUACAGAUGAAGAAUAUUAGUUAUGCACUGAGGAAAACACAACAUCUCAAAUGCACUAAACCAGUGGUUCUCAAACUUUUUAUACCGAGUACCAUCUCAGAAAAAAUUUGGCACCAUGAUGACCAACAUUAAAAUACUGCAUACUGUGCAAAAUACUGUGUAUAUUUAUAAUGUAAUACAUUAUAUAAAUAUACAUACAUGCAUGUAUAUAUUUACGAAAAAUGUAUGUUUAUAUAUUAAAUAUAUUUGUAUAUCAUAUAAAUUAUAUGAAUAUGAAUAUAUACAUGUAAAUAUAUGUAAAUAUUUUCAAAAUAUAUAUUGUAUGUGUGUGUAUAUGUAUAUACAUAAUAAAUCUACACAGUACACACAUAUAUUAUGUAAACAAAAACAUUUAUUUUGGUUGCGAUUAAUGGUGAUUAAUUGUUGUACAGCACUAGUUUUAACAUUCAUUUAUAUUUAAUUUAGAGAUUCCUCUGUGUACCACACUUUUAGAAGCACUGCAUUAAACAGCACACAUUUAUACAUUUAUAUUACAUUUAUACGCCGUUUGUCAUGCUGGAUCAAUUUUAACCAUGAUCGACAUUCAGGGCUGCUAAAGAGCAAGUGUGCACAUUAUAUUAUCUUGACUCAUUGAACCCGGAUCAAAUUAGUGAGAUUAAUAGUGUCAAAAAUUUUAAGUUAACCCAGGAAAGCCCAAAAAAGAAACCACCUGUUACAAUAAAAAGUGGUAGUGGUUUGCUGAAUUUUCCAUCAGGUUUUUGAUUGUAAUUCUUUAUUAUUUGACAAGUCACACAGGUUUUCACAUGACGUUUCAUGUCGGACCACAUGCCUGGCCAGAAUGCUACUUCUUGGAGUCGUUUGUACGUUUUAUAGAUUCCUCCAUGGCCACUAAGACAACUGGAAUGGUAGUGCUUCAGCAAAGAGGGACGAAGACUGCUGGGAACGUAGACUCGGUAGUGCAUCUGGUUAUCUGGAAGGACAACACCUGACAAUGGCAGGUCUGACUCCUUGUGGCUUGUGUACAGAGUGCAGCUCGAGAUUGUCGCAGGACCCAACAGAUGAGUCGCCUGGUGGUUUUGGUGGAACCCAUGACCCAUUGCAGAGCAGAGUGGACAGUGACAACUGUGAAGAGUUUGUGUUCCAGAAUAGCACCCAAACCAGUGUCACUGGCAUCGAUGUAAACGGUGAAGGGGAGCUGAAGAUCUGGAUGGCCAAGGAUGGGUGGUGAGUGAGUUGAGGGGUUCGGCUAUCCUUGAAAAUUUUGGGACAUACCGAUGAUACCACCCAGCCAAUCCAAGGAACCUUUGAACCUCCUUCAGAUUUCUAGGCACAGGUUCCCCCAGAACUGUUUCCAUAAGUCUCUGGAAAGUGGUGGGAGCAUUUUUGAGACCAAACGGCAUAACAUUAACUGACAGAGACCUGCAGGAGUGAUGAAGGCAGUCUUGGCUUUGCUAUUGGGGUCCAUUGCUACAUGCCAAUAGCCACUGUUAAGAUCAAUAGUGGAGAAAAUGGCUACUCCUGGAGAGUGACUCCAGGAUUUCUGUGAUGUUUGGAAGAGGGUAAGCAUCACUUUCAGUUACAGAAUUAACCUCUCUGUAGUCCACACAGAAUCUAAGUUUGCCAUCCUCUUUGGGUACCAAGACCACUGGGGAGGCCCAACCAAAGUGGUAUGGCUCAACAAUUCCUUGCAUCAACAUUUCCUCAAGCUGUUCCUCCAUGGAAAGCUGUUUAAGAGGGGACAAGCAAUAUGGUUUUUGCUUAAUCCUCUGGGGUUCUUCAUUUAGGAGUCACACUCUGGACCUUCGCAGUCAAAAGUGACAGGACCCCUGAAAUCAAAAAUUUUUUUCCCCAGUAAAAUCAAUGUAAUAUAUUUUUAUUCAAUAAUAUUUUUUCUUUUGAAUUUUGAGAGAAUUUUAUGGUAAUAAUUAAUAUUUACUAUAAUUAUGACUAUUUUUCCCCUUUAAUAAUAAUAAUAAAAAAAUUAUAUAUAUAUAAUUUUCAUUAUUUUUCAAUUAAUGCUGUAUUUCAGGUUAAAAUAGAGACUAGGCCUUUAAAAUCCAUUUUUUAAAGUCAGAUUGGUGCCUCCUGGUGGGAGUAGUGAGCAAUAAUUUCAUGCAUUAACAUAGUUAACCACUAGAUUGAUGUACAGCUCUCUAAAGAAAGGCUUGCGAAUUCCCUAGUUGUUUUUGCACAUAUUUUCUCCUUUUUUUUAGGUUGUUGAUUUGAAUAUAUAUUUAGAGAUUCUCAAAGACUACUUUUGUUAAGUUUUUUGUUUGUUUGGUUGGUUUAAGGAAUCUCCCUUUUCUGUCCAAGAUACUAGAAAAGGUAGUAUCCUCACAAUUAUAUUCCUUCUUAGAGAAAAAUGGCAUCUGUGAGGAUUUCCAGUCAGGAUUUAGACCGUAUCAUAGUACUGAGACUGCUCUCCUUAGAGUUACAAAUGACCUGCUCUUAUCAUCUGAUCGUGGUUGUAUCUCUCUAUUAGUGCUAUUGGAUCUUAGUGCUGCGUUCGACACUUUUGACCACACCAUUCUUUUGCAUAGGCUAGAACACUUUGUUGGCAUUAAUGGAAGUGCAUUAGCAUGGUUUAAAUCGUACUUAUAUGACCGCCAUCAAUUCGUAGCAGUGAAUAAAGAGGUAUCAUAUCGAUCACAAUUGCAGUAUGGAGUACCUCAAGGCUCAGUACUAGGGGCCGUUACUCUUCACGCUUUACAUGUUACCCUUGGGAGAUAUCAUCAGGAAACACGGUGUUAGCUUUCACUGUUAUGCUGAUGAUACUCAGCUCUAUAUUUCUUCGCAGCCCGGCGAAACAUACCAAUUUGAAAAACGGAAUGCAUUGUCGAUAUAAAAAACUGGAUGACGAGUAAUUUCUUACUGCUAAAUUUUGAAAAAAACAGAGGUGUUAAUUAUAGGACCUAAAAGCUCUGCAUGUAAUAACCUAGAAUGCUGUCUAAGACUUGAUGGCUGCUCUGUCAAUAAUUCGUCAUCAGUUAGGAACCUAGGUGUGCUAUUUGAUAGCAACCUUUCCUUAGAAAGCCACGUUUCUAGCAUUUGUAAAACUGCAUUUUUCCAUCUCAAAAAUAUAUCUAAAUUACGGCCUAUGCUCUCAAUGUCAUCACUGCACUGGCUCCCUAUCAAACAUCAUAUAGAUUUUAAAAUCUUGCUUGUUACUUAUAAAGCCCUGAAUGGUUUAGCACCUCAGUAUAUGAAUGAGCUCUUGUUACAUUAUAGUCCUCCAUGUCUGCUCCGUUCUCAAAACUCUGGCAAUUUGAUAAUACCUAGAAUAUCAAAGUCAACUGUGGACGGCAGAUCCUUUUCCUAUUUAGCGCCCAAACUCUGGAAUAACCUACCUAACAUUGUUCAGGAGGCAGACACGCUCUUGCAGUUUAAAUCUAGAUUAAAGACCCAUCUCUUUAACCUGGCUUACACAUAACAUACUAAUACACUUCUAAUAUCCAAAUCUGUUAAAGGAUUUUUAGGCUGCAUUAAUUAGGUAAACCGGAACCGGGAACACUUCCUAUAACACCCGAUGUACUUGCUACAUCGUUAGAAGAAUGCCAUCUACGCUAAUAUUAGUCUGUUUCUCUCUUAUUCCGAG
Molecule: long non-coding RNA, 5700 nt
Organism: Cyprinus carpio carpio
Lineage: Eukaryota; Metazoa; Chordata; Actinopteri; Cypriniformes; Cyprinidae
Source: Ensembl